This 364-nucleotide unclassified non-coding RNA is filed under the name Hevea brasiliensis (rubber tree). Lineage: Eukaryota; Viridiplantae; Streptophyta; Magnoliopsida; Malpighiales; Euphorbiaceae. The record is from RNAcentral.
AUUCAUUCAUUCAUGCUUUAUUGCAACACUUGCAGCUUCCGGCAUGCAUUUUUGGCUGCUGGAGCUGUGAUUUCUACCUUCAACAACAAGAAAAAGUAGUGAUUUUAACCCUAAAGAUGGUGUUCAAAGGACGUUUUUUCUCAUCGAAGAAAUCGGAUACUUCUAGCCCAGAUGGAUCGUACAACAGUCCAAGAUCCAGUGGUUCAAACUCCCCAAUUCGAUCUGAUGGUAAGAAGAAAGGUAAAUCUAAUUCAAAGGACAAUUCACCAAGUACCCCCACUUCAUUGUCAAGUUUUAUUAGUUUUAGGGAUAAGAAAAAGGAUGCUAAAGGAAAAGAAAGUCAGAAUUCGACUCCGAUUAAGAA